UGUUACCUUGUUACGACUUCACCCCAGUCGCUGAUCCUACCGUGGCCGCCUGCCCCCCGAAGGUUAGCGCAGCGUCGUCGGGUAGAACCAACUCCCAUGGUGUGACGGGCGGUGUGUACAAGGCCCGGGAACGUAUUCACCGCGUCAUGCUGUUACGCGAUUACUAGCGAUUCCGACUUCAUGGGUCGAGUUGCAGACCCCAAUCCGAACUGAGACAGUUUUUUGGGAUUAACCCAUUGUCACUGCCAUUGUAGCACGUGUGUAGCCCAACCCGUAAGGGCCAUGAGGACUUGACGUCAUCCACACCUUCCUCCCGCUUAUCACGGGCAGUUUCCCU
This 337-nucleotide ribosomal RNA is filed under the name uncultured Alphaproteobacteria bacterium. RNAcentral's name for it is "partial 16S ribosomal RNA". The record is from RNAcentral. Lineage: Bacteria; Pseudomonadati; Pseudomonadota; Alphaproteobacteria.